RNAcentral lists this long non-coding RNA (8719 nucleotides) under Xyrichtys novacula (pearly razorfish). The record is from RNAcentral. Lineage: Eukaryota; Metazoa; Chordata; Actinopteri; Labriformes; Labridae.
GUUCAUCUUGUCCGUCAGAGUUCCAGCAUAUAUUUCUUGUGUUUGCCUGAGUGUUUUGACCUCCUUUAGUAUUGUUUGGCUUAGCCUCUUGCCUGCCAAUUUGGAUACCUCUGCCUUGCCUUUUUGGAGUCCGAGUCAUUUUUGAUUUUGCCAGCUUGUGAGUCUGCAUUUGGGUCCUCUUUGGUUCAGUGUUACACUUUAUGUCUGUCUGUCUGUCUGUCUGUCUGUCUGUCUGUCUGUUAUCUAUCUAUCUAUCUAUCUAUCUAUCUAUCUAUCUAUCUAUCUAUCUAUCUAUCUAUCUAUCUAUCUAUCUAUCUAUCUAUCUAUCUAGCUAUCUAUCUAUCUAGCUAUCUAUCUAUCUAUCUAUCUAUCUAACAAACAAGAUUUCAUCACCUUCAUUCCCACAUCUUCUCGCUGAUCAUCUGUUGGGUACAUGAUUGAAUUUAAACUUCUGCAUGUCCCCUUUAAAGCACCACACAGACUUGCCCCCACCUACUGUUCAUUCAGGUAUAAUCUUCCUCUCAGCUCAGACAGCCCGCCUUGUCACUAAAGGUGACAGGGCGCUUUCUGUAAGAGACCCCGUACUUGGAAAGUCCCUACCUGAGGACAUGAGGUUUGUUUAAUUAGUACUUUCUUUAUACACUUCUUAAAACCUGCUUUUAUGGAAAGCCUUGCUUGUGUGGGUGAUUUUAAUUUUUUACUUUUUAUGUUUUAUUAUUUAUGGUGCGGCGGAUGCUUAGACUUUAGUUGAUGCCUGGAGUUUGUAUUAUGUUCUGCAGGACAAUGUUAAAGUCAAGUGGCUCCUUGUGCUUCUGUUUGAGUUUUCCAAGGUGAAUGUCAAUAAAACCAAACCUUUUCGGGUAAGAUUUCAAAGCUUAAAACCAGCUUAGAUGAAAGGGGUUUUAGUCAGUUCAUGUAAGAUGUGGUUUUGAUGGCUUUGGAUGGCAUUCUGCAGCAAAGCAAUGUAUGCUCGUUCUACCCCUUGUUCAUUUUAGUGACUUAUUUACUUACCAGUACAUUCAUAAACGCAAGAGUCCGUUCAACUUUUACAAGCAUUUCCUUUUCUUAAUUCUCUUUCUGUGGUUUGAUUUUCUUGCAUCUUUCCAGCAGAGCUUUGAAAGUGCAUCCUCAUUGAAGUUUUGAUCCUCAAAUAUGAAGGAUGAGCAAGAUGUCUAAGAGAGCAAUAUUCCCACAAACUCACUCACAUUUUCAUCUCCACCUCCGGUCAGCACAUCCUUUGAAUCUCAAACCUGAUCUUCUCUCCUCACCCCAUAAUCUCAUCUUUGUCCAUCGCUUCCUGCCUCCUCACCUCAUCCUGUUUCCUUUAAGCCGAGAACAUCUCAGCCUUUGCUUUGAAAUCAGGAAAUGAAAGAAAGUCUCAGUAUUUUGGCAGAGUGAGGGAGGAACCAUUCUUCCAUAAACACCGUACGAUAAAGGUUACCAAGCCACAGCCAGAGAUAGAGCGCCACUGUUUCCAAGAAAGGGCUUACUCCCAUUGGUGGAUGGCUUUUUCCCAUUGAGUAAAGCUCCUGGAGAAUGAUAUGGCUUGUCUGUGUUGACAGGCUUGAGAUAAGGAAGUGCCCUCAGGUAUUAGUUGUCAUUCCUUUUCACCAGGAAAAGCAGCUGAGAGUAGCUACCUUAUUUCUUUUUCUUUCCCCUUUCCUCCUCUUUUGGAUGAAUAGAGGAAAAAUUCACAACAACAAAGCCUUCCACUCUCAUUAAAUCAGCCGCAAAGCCAAGCACCACCAAGGAGCACAAUAUCUGAGGCAGAUGAGUAAUCCCCCUGCUCAAUCUACAAGCUGGCACAGAAUUUCAAAUGUCCGUAAUAACUGCCGGAGAAGGAAGUGAAGGGCACACACAAACAACCUGUACGCACACGCAUCCAUGUACUGUACUGUGAUGAAAAUGAAUCUGUUAAUGACCAUUAGGCCACAGCAGUGCAGUGCUGAAAUGUCCUCCAGGUUGAAAUGCCACUCUGUGACUGGGUGUGAUUAUUUGUGAGUUGCAAGUAGGAAGAAAUAGGGUAACACUUUACUUAACCAUAAUUUAUGAAUGGUAAAUAGAUAGUUUAUUAAUGUUUAAACAUCAUUUAAAAACAGCAUAUAGACCAAUUAUAAAUGGCACAUAGAUGGUUUAUUAAUGUAAGUUAAUAGUUACUUUACCAUUAACAAACAAUGAAAUUAUGAUUAUUAAUGGACUAUUUAUUAAAGGUGUAUAUAUAGGGUUUAAAUAUUGGUUGUAAAACAUCUAGAUUAAAAUGUGUGUCGGCAGCACUUUGUUAAUGGUUAAUAUUUGGUUUUUAAUGGUCUAUAUGCUAUUUUUAAAUGAUGAUUAAACAUUAAUAAACUAUCUGCUUACCAUUUAUAAAUGAUCUAUUUACCAUUUAUAAUUUAUGGUUAUUGUAAAGUGUUACCAAAAAUAGUACUUUCUGACUGACUUGAGCGUAUUUCAACAGCCAAUAAUUGGAUGAAGUUUAGUCUCCAAUUAAAUUUUACAGUUUUUUUCUGAAGUCUUUUCUUGUUAGGGAUGUGUUUUUUAAAGAACAAAAUCCACCAUACUCAAGGUCAUAUAUGAUAUAAAUACAUAGUUUUUUUUUUAAAUUAGGUCCAAACUGUAAAAAAUAAAAAUAUAAAAGUAUUUAAAUUUGUUUUAAAAAAUGUCACACCUUCCAAAAAAUCAGGAAACCUAAGCCAAGAUGUAAAUGCAAUGGUCUAAUUUAAUUUAGUGAAAUAUUAAUGAAAAGUUCAAAAUUCAGUCAAAGACAGAUGUCAAAGUCUCUCCUCUUGGACAUCUGUUUACCUGUGAGUUAGUGUGUUUACAUGUUUAUACAAAAGUGUUUUUUUUUUGCCUUGAGCCAACUGAAAUCAGACUUUUGCAAAACAUAUUGAUGCAUUUAUCAAACUGAACUUCUCAUAGUCGGACUGACAUACUGGGAUUGAUUUUCUCUUUCAUGUAUCUGACUCAACUGAACCGAAACGAGACUAAACCAUCAGUGCAUGCUCCAGUGUUUGCAUGCUAGAAAUGAAGCACAGAGCACAGAGAUGUUAUUAGGAAGCAGCGUAGUUAACAAAACCUCACAAGAUGACAAAGGAUUUGUUAAAAACGAAGAAGAAAAAAUGGUACAGAGCUGUAAAAGUGACAUACUUUAGCUUUUAAUCAAUUGUUUUGAUAAGUAGUAGGUCAAGCAAGAGGCAACCCAACAGUAACAAGCUGAGAAGAGCAUGUCACCACCUUCUAUAAUGGAGGCAGACAUGCUUGUUUGCAGCUUGGGACAAUGACAAUAGCUUAAUGGAGGUUCGACUGAAAUGUUCACGUUAACUUGUUUCAUGCAUAGACAUUGUACACGUAGAUGCCUCAUUACGUGCUGGAGCCUAAUCCAGUGUCACCGUCAUACUGGAUGGGUCUCCCCACUCUUGGCUCGCUCAAGAGCCAAACAGGGUCAAUGGAGAACGAGCAACUAUGCCAGUUUUUUUGCACUCUAUGGUUGAAAAACCCGACGCAGUAUUGAAACCAGACCAUGUAGGAUUACAUUUCACAAACAGGAUUGAAAAAUAAUUUGUUUUAUUUUUAAUGUGCGACAUUGUCCUGUAUUAUUGCUACAUCCCUGCUGUUGUAACAAACCGAACAGUUUGGAAAUGGGGCAGAGAUUCAGAGAGUUAUUAUCUAUAUGGUUGGGCAUUCCUCCCUAUCUUAAUGCACUGGAGGCGCAUGGGGGCCCAUCCAAGAUGGCGGCCGCGCUGAUAUGUUAGCUCCAAUAGGCAGCGUCAGGCUUUGAGGCGUCUACGUAUAUUAUGUCUAUGAUUUCAUGUGUAUUCGUUUCUCUGUCAUUGGUGUGUUGGUGUUCCUCUUGCCCUCUGUAUUCACCAGUCAGUUCACCCAUUUCCUGCCUUUCUAACUUAAAUUAACAUAGCUGUUGCCCACCUGCCACUAUGAGUUUAAUCAGUUUUCUUAGUCCUAAAGACCUCCAUUUCCCACCACCUUUAAGCCUAUUAGUCAACCACUGCCCCACAGAGCACUACCUAAUCAGUCAUGCUCCCUUGCCAUACUUUUUGAACGGUACACACCUCUCAAUCCCUGCCCAUAUCUGAGUCUGAAUCUGUGUUCAGCUGUUCUUUGUGUAAACAGUUCAACAUCAACUCAAGUCUUUCAACAACACGAGAAUACUACACUUAUAAAACCAGAACAGGUUUGCAAGAGGCCCUCUCUGUAAUGAGAUCCAGAUUGAGCUCUAAGGCACAAGCAGCCCUCUUUUAAACCAUGUGGUUACUGGGCUACUUCUAGGUCACAAUUACAUGAGCUUUUACAAAAACAUAUUAUUGACAAAUAUCAACCCAACCUUUAAAAUAAAACAUGGAACUACCCUAAAAUUUAAGAAAACAAAAAAAUAGAAAGAUAUCACCAAAUAAGAUGCCUCAACUUUAAUUUUGGCCAUUCAGUAACAUUAACUUUGAGGUAAAUUAUCACUUUGAAUACCUUGUACUUUUUUAUCCCUGCAGACUGUAGCUGCAGCCAGCAGAGAUAAAUAUACCUAUCACUUUACCUCCACAACUUCACUGAGUGCAGCAAAACAUUUUGAGCUUUCUUUUGCAUAUUCAGCAGCAGCAAAAGUAGAAGCAGGUAGCUGUUGCUGGUCAGAAAGCGAGGCUAUUGGUAAAACCAUUUAGCUCCUGCCCACUUGGAAAUAUGGAGCUGAAAUGCAGCGAUGAGUCAGCUCUUUUUACUGAGAGGAUGAAUCAUUCAUCAUGGCCGCCAGCGGGGUCCUGGACCGGGAUUGAGGGUUGGAGGGGUGGAGGGGUUGAGGGGGAGGUCGAUGAGGACCUGAUGGCAAGUUCCUCUGCUGACUCCACAUAUAGAGUAUGAAGCUGUAGAGGCUCCUGGUGCAGUUCCUCUGGAUUGUAUGGGGAUAAAGGGAUAUGAAAGAAGGGAGGCCGAGCAGCAAAAUUCUGGUCAGGAUUUACUGAAAGCUUUGUGUACAGUUUGAACUGUAAAUUGAAAAGGAAUUCCACUCCCUAUUGUGGCUCCUUUUAAUGGUUUAGGUUGGGAAUUCUCAACUCUGAUGGGUUUAUUAUUAUAUUAUUCAAGACAACUAAAUGACUCAGCUUUGGAAAGCCCCUUUCACUCCAAAGUAAGAAAUAAUACAAAAUUGUUAAUAAUGGAGGAUUCUCCUAAACCCUGAAUUAUUUCUUAAAUCCCAGACUGUGUGUAGGAUGUGGGUGUAGCCUCUUCUUUCUAACAAAGUAAGCAGAAUCUUCUUUCUCAAAGUCAGCUUCAAAGACAUGUUCAAUUGUACUUUAAAGUGAGCCUACACCUCACUUAUUUAUUCCAUCAAUAAUCCCUCUCCAUAUGACUUUUUGGCCUCUAGGGCUGGUUUCAUGUCUUUGCCAAUACAGCAUAUAAUUCAUUGUGAAGGCCAACCUUCAAUAAGAUGGCCACAUCUGAAAUGUUAACUCAAUGCUUCAAAGCAAGUAGUCCAUAAAACUCUAGGUAAUGUCACAGUGAAUAGAUUCACAUCCUGUAAUCUACGGUUGGCUUUCAAUGGUUUGUUAAAGGUUGAGCAAGACUGGUUUAGCCAAAUAAACCAAAGUAUUCCUGUGGGAUGGUCAUAAAACUUGGUGAGGAUGCAAACUCUGGGCUUCAUAACAAGAUACAGGUCUUUAGUCAGCCAGGACAGCCAUAUAUGAUUGCUUUUCUGAUGGUUAAAUACACCUGGAAACCUUUCUUGUUCUACUUUUCCAGUACCUUCUUGAUUGAAAAAAAUGUUGAAUUUCACAAAAACUAGCAAUCCGGCAUUGGCACCUACUCUACUAUUGGGAACUAUGCUCAAUUUCUAUAUUCCCACUCUUUCAGUCUUUUUUUUAAACUGUGGCUGGGCACCAAAAGACACCUUGAAUUUCUUCCAGGUGAUACAGUAUUCACAAUUUUUUAAUCAUGUGUAACAUCCAGUUUGACUUUGGCACAAGCUGUAGAUCUAGAGGAUGUAGAAUAACUCGAAUAUGAACAAAUUCACAGGAAUCCCACAGUGCCAAGAACUUAUCUGUCUUUUGACCUUGACCCAUAUUCAUACAGUCAAAGUAAACAGGAAGACCAGACGUUGGCCAGACACUUUUUUAACCCUAAAAACACCGUCUGUACCUCAGUACAGGGGUUAAUCCUUCAAGAACCGGUAUCCGUUGCCUGGUCUGUGGAGGAUUUCCUGUUUAUAUCACCAGUCUGCCGUGUUAUUUGCACUGGUGCGCAUUGAAUCUCAGGAUAUGUUGGACCUGAUGCAUCCUUUAUGGCUCAGGAUUGGUAGGAUGCAUUCGCCAAUUGCGUUUGAAGGAGCCUUCAAAAUUGUGACAUCCCACUUUGAUGCAAUUGGUCUCCAGAUGUGCCUCUCUGAGGAUAAAGCCCUUGAAUUAGGACAUAGCUACAGUCCAGCCUCUCUAAUGCUCAUGUGGCAGGAAGUCAGCGAAUUCCAACAGCCAGCUUCUGAAAUCUUGUUGAAAGUCUUCUCGUAUGGUUGUCAUGUUUGGGUGGACACGUCAAUGUUGCAGCUUAAAGGCGCACAAAACAAGUUUACUGUUUUUAGUCACUUCACAUCACUCACACAUCAGUAAUCAAUGAGCUGAUUACCCAUGGGUUGGUACUGUAAAUCCUUCAGUCCUGUAAUUCAACAAAAGUAAAAGGGCAUUCCAGUUCAUCUCUUCACUGAGAUAAAAGAUUAUGUGCAAUAAGCGAUGCAUUUCUGUUAACUAUGUUUUGAAGAGUCUUCUGAUUGUCUUCUGAUGAACAUGGCUGCUAUAAUCAAUCAGCGCUGUCAUAUCAGAGUCCGAUGAGAAAGAGAGAGAGAGCUCAGUGAUAUCCUGGUAGGACAGCCUCACCCAGAGGGCCAGGGAGAAAACGAAAGGGGAAGCAAACGGGCAGAGAAAAGGAGAGGAACGCAGAAGAAAGACGAGCCUGGAACAUGGCAUAUUAGAGAAUAUAAGCGGAGCAAAAGAGAGCGGAGUGUAGCUCAGGAGAGGCAUCAAGUGACCCCCUCCUUCCCCAUUGUUGAGGAACACAAGAGCUGGGCUGGCUUGAGGCCACCAAAGGGGUAGAAUACAUUAGAAACCAGCUGGAAAGUGCAAGGAAAAAAAGAAUGAGGUAGAGGUAGAGUAGCUGGAGCUUUUCAUGUUGUAGAGAGAGCAAACAUCAACACUAGCUGAACUAAGAUUGCUUUAUACACGGGGUGUCUGAAUUAGCUGUGCAAAUGUUUCACAGGUUAGGAUAAUUGUGAACAGGUUAGAAGUUUUUGUUGCAGUAAGAGAUGGAGUGUCUCUGCAGGGAGAGUUGUGCAGGAAGGAACUGGAUGAUGAGGAGGAAGGGCUGGAUUUGGUGGGAUGACGAGAAAAAGAGGACAAAAUAAAACAUGAAGAGAAAUGACCGGUGACUGGACACGAACUCUUAACCAUUCCAAAUAUGGCUGUUGCAAUUUGCCACUAUUGAUAAUAACAGUCUUUUUAGAGGCAAAGUCAUUGUGCUGAAAUAAACAAAUAAUCAUACUGUGUAACUAAAAGCUUCACGUGGGGGUGGGUCACAUGCUAGUUACUGAUGUAUCAUACACCAGUGAGUGACUUCUGAGGUCAUAAGCAUGAAGGAUAACCCAGACAUUAAAGCUCCUGUGAGGAUCUUUUGGUUUGUGUCAGUUUUGGUGCCCCCUGUGGACUACACAGUCUUUGCCUAGCUAGUCCUUUGCAUAGUGACGUAAACUCUUCUUACAAAAAUAUCUAAUCCUGCUGACUUUAGACAGUCAACAUCCCCUCGCACUGGUUUUAAGGCUUAAAAAUGACCACAUGUUACUUAAUCUUGUUGCUUAUUGGUCUUGUUUGCUUUAUUUCCUCAGCUGUUAAAACACUCCAUAAUCAUUCCAAUCCCAAAGAGGAGUACCACCAAACCAUUCAAUGACCUCAGACCUCCCACCUCCCUCCUGAUGAAGUCAAUGGUGAGGAUUACAAAACAACUAACUCACUGAUGGAUCCUCUCCAGUCUGCGUAACGCACAUGUAGGGGUGUCAGCAAUGCCAAAAUAUACAUCCUAGACACCCUCCACAAACACUCGGACCUCCGCCAGAUUUCGCGUUUGCCAACAUCUCUUCAGCAUUCAGCACCCUUCAGUUCCAAAUCCUGGCCAACAACCUCUCCUCUUCCACCUGGACAACCAGCUCAUCCUGUGGCUCCGAUUUCCUCACCCACAGGUCACAGAAAGUGUACGUCAACAACAUUUUCUCUGACAUACGACACACCUCAACCAUGCUGAUGACCCAGUUCUCCUGUCUCUGCUGUCAGACUCUUCACAGCCCCAUGGACCAGCCCUCCAGGAGCUUGUAGACCGGUAUGACAACUCAUGUCUGGAGCUGAACGUCAGCAAAACCAAAGAGAUAGUAGUGACCUUUUCCAACAAGCAGCGGGAGCUUGCUGCAGCAGUCACUUCCGCAAUUCACGGUGAGCUAGCAGAGCAUGUUGAGGAAUACAAAUACGAAGGCACCACCUUAAUAGUCGGCUGAAGUUCUCCUCCAACACUGAGAAGAUCCUUAAGAAAAGCCAGCAGAGACAGUAUCUCAGAAAGUAUCACCACCUUCUCAAUGAUCAGCUAGUUUCAAUCAAUCAGCCUUCAGGACAGAAACCGCCAGCAGAAAACUGCGACUGUCUGCUCUAAAAUAAUUGGCACACCUCUCAGAUCUUAGCCAGCAGGUCAAUUUUUA